GGGUAUAGCUCAGUGGUAGAGUACAUGCUUAGCAUGCACAGGAUUGUGGGUUCAAUCCCCACGAUCUCCA
RNAcentral lists this transfer RNA (70 nucleotides) under Camelus bactrianus (Bactrian camel). It matches the Rfam family "tRNA". Rfam says of the family: Transfer RNA (tRNA) molecules are approximately 80 nucleotides in length. RNAcentral also lists the same sequence under 2 other names. The record is from Rfam by way of RNAcentral. Lineage: Eukaryota; Metazoa; Chordata; Mammalia; Artiodactyla; Camelidae.